GUCCAGCCGAUGAGUCGCAAACAGGACGAAAUGCGCAUCCUGCAU
RNAcentral lists this non-coding RNA (45 nucleotides) under Schistosoma haematobium. The record is from RNAcentral. Lineage: Eukaryota; Metazoa; Platyhelminthes; Trematoda; Strigeidida; Schistosomatidae.